Molecule: ribosomal RNA, 491 nt
Filed under: uncultured bacterium
Lineage: Bacteria
Description: partial 16S ribosomal RNA
Rfam family: Bacterial small subunit ribosomal RNA
Source: RNAcentral
GUGAACGCUGGCGGUAGGCCUAACACAUGCAAGUAGAACGGCAGCACAGUAAGAGCUUGCUCUUACGGGUGGCGAGUGGCGGACGGGUGAGGAAUACAUCGGAAUCUACUUUUUCGUGGGGGAUAACGUAGGGAAACUUACGCUAAUACCGCAUACGACCUACGGGUGAAAGCAGGGGAUCUUCGGACCUUGCGCGAUUGAAUGAGCCGAUGUCGGAUUAGCUAGUUGGCGGGGUAAAGGCCCACCAAGGCGACGAUCCGUAGCUGGUCUGAGAGGAUGAUCAGCCACACUGGAACUGAGACACGGUCCAGACUCCUACGGGAGGCAGCAGUGGGGAAUAUUGGACAAUGGGCGCAAGCCUGAUCCAGCCAUACCGCGUGGGUGAAGAAGGCCUUCGGGUUGUAAAGCCCUUUUGUUGGGAAAGAAAAGCAGCAGGUUAAUACCCCGCUGUUCUGACGGUACCCAAAGAAUAAGCACCGGCUAACUUCGUG